Molecule: small nucleolar RNA, 140 nt
Filed under: Setaria italica (foxtail millet)
Lineage: Eukaryota; Viridiplantae; Streptophyta; Magnoliopsida; Poales; Poaceae
Also listed under: 1 other name
Description: Small nucleolar RNA Z247
Rfam family: Small nucleolar RNA Z247
About the family: Z247 is a member of the C/D class of snoRNA which contain the C (UGAUGA) and D (CUGA) box motifs. Most of the members of the box C/D family function in directing site-specific 2'-O-methylation of substrate RNAs.
Source: Rfam by way of RNAcentral
AAGGUUGAAGAUGACGAGAUGAUAUCUUUCAUCCUUACUGGAUUGGACAGUGAAUAUAACCCUAUUGUUACUUCGGUCAUGGGGUGCACGGAUCAGAUCUCAUUGAGUGAGUUAUACACCCAAGUGAUGGCGUAUGAAUC